CUUCUUUUUCCUUGGUUAUGUCGCCACGUGCAGACGAGUUUCUUAAAUUUUCAUUCUACUUUGGAAAAUUGAACAGAAUGGGAUAAAAACUAAUCCUGAUCACUCCUCAUGGAGUUAUCCAUAUUUUGAGACUUCUUAAGACAUAAAAGGAACAAAAAACCUUCAAGCGGCCAGACAUGUGGUUUUGUAGUCUGUUGACCGACCCAUAGAUUAUUUGCUGGGCAAAAUGAGGUUAUGUCUGCAAUGUGUGUUCCUUGGAAAACAUAAAGUUUCCACCAAGGCGAACUGAAUGGAACUACUAUUGGCGCAAAAAAAAAAACUAAACCUAGACUGAAGAGGUUUUAUUUUUAUUUAA
Molecule: long non-coding RNA, 355 nt
Organism: Drosophila willistoni
Lineage: Eukaryota; Metazoa; Arthropoda; Insecta; Diptera; Drosophilidae
Exons: 4
Source: RefSeq, a predicted model, not a curated record